Molecule: unclassified non-coding RNA, 329 nt
Filed under: soil metagenome
Description: partial contains 5.8S ribosomal RNA, internal transcribed spacer 2, and large subunit ribosomal RNA
Rfam family: 5.8S ribosomal RNA (bases 1-120)
Source: RNAcentral
GAUGAAGAACGUAGCGAAAUGCGAUAAGUAAUGUGAAUUGCAGAAUUCAGUGAAUCAUCGAAUCUUUGAACGCACAUUGCGCCCUCUGGUAUUCCGGGGGGCAUGCCUGUUCGAGCGUCAUUAUAACCACUCAAGCUCUCGCUUGGUAUUGGAGUUCGCGAUCUCGCGGCUCCUAAAAUCAGUGGCGGUGCCUGUCGGCUCUACGCGUAGUAAUACUCCUCGCGAUUGAGUCCGGUAGGGUUACUUGCCAGCAACCCCCAAUUUUUACAGGUUGACCUCGGAUCAGGUAGGGAUACCCGCUGAACUUAAGCAUAUCAAUAAGCGGAGGA